RNAcentral lists this ribosomal RNA (440 nucleotides) under uncultured bacterium. RNAcentral's name for it is "bacterial SSU rRNA". It matches the Rfam family "Bacterial small subunit ribosomal RNA", at positions 958 to 1398 of the family's 1533-position model. The record is from RNAcentral.
AACGCGAAGAACCUUACCUGGGUUUGAACUGCAGCGGACAGACACAGAAAUGUGUUCUCCCUUCGGGGUCGCUGUGGAGGUGCUGCAUGGCUGUCGUCAGCUCGUGUCGUGAGAUGUUGGGUUAAGUCCCGCAACGAGCGCAACCCUUGCCAGUAGUUGCCAACGGGUAAAGCCGGGAACUCUACUGGGACCGCCGGUGUUAAACCGGAGGAAGGUGGGGAUGACGUCAAGUCCUCAUGGCCCUUAUGUCCAGGGCUACACACGUGCUACAAUGGCCGGUACAAUGGGUCGCCAAAUCGCAAGAUGGAGCUAAUCUCAAAAAACCGGCCUCAGUUCAGAUUGUAGUCUGCAACUCGACUACAUGAAGGUGGAAUUGCUAGUAAUCGCGGAUCAGAAUGCCGCGGUGAAUACGUUCCCGGGCCUUGUACACACCGGUACUA